RNAcentral lists this ribosomal RNA (497 nucleotides) under uncultured bacterium. RNAcentral's name for it is "partial 16S ribosomal RNA". It matches the Rfam family "Bacterial small subunit ribosomal RNA", at positions 28 to 507 of the family's 1533-position model. The record is from RNAcentral.
GAUGAACGCUGGCGGCGUGCCUAAUACAUGCAAGUCGAGCGAACAGACGAGGAGCUUGCUCCUCUGACGUUAGCGGCGGACGGGUGAGUAACACGUGGAUAACCUACCUAUAAGACUGGGAUAACUUCGGGAAACCGGAGCUAAUACCGGAUAAUAUAUUGAACCGCAUGGUUCAAUAGUGAAAGACGGUUUUGCUGUCACUUAUAGAUGGAUCCGCGCCGCAUUAGCUAGUUGGUAAGGUAACGGCUUACCAAGGCAACGAUGCGUAGCCGACCUGAGAGGGUGAUAGGCCACACUGGAACUGAGACACGGUCCAGACUCCUACGGGAGGCAGCAGUAGGGAAUCUUACGCAAUGGGCGAAAGCCUGACGGAGCAACGCCGCGUGAGUGAUGAAGGUCUUCGGAUCGUAAAACUCUGUUAUUAGGGAAGAACAAAUGUGUAAGUAACUAUGCACGUCUUGACGGUAACUAAUCAGAAAGCCACGGCUAACUACGUG